RNAcentral lists this long non-coding RNA (241 nucleotides) under Manihot esculenta (cassava). Its description in RNAcentral is "long non-coding RNA (MESC_LNC005902)". Lineage: Eukaryota; Viridiplantae; Streptophyta; Magnoliopsida; Malpighiales; Euphorbiaceae. The record is from RNAcentral.
UAGGGUGGGUAUGGCAUCUGUGUGGGAUAAGGGGUGAAGCUAGGGUAAUCCGAUGUACCUCCCAUCGAAUACCCGGGAUUUUGUGAGAAGUGUGGGUAGUGGGGUGGCUGAACAAAUCCCGAGGCCUGAGUGCCUCCUUGGGAUUCUCCCAUUCCCUCUUCUGACAUGCUAACUCCCAAACUGCCAUCCCUCCUCUGCUCUACAUCCAUAUCAUCCCCCAUGCCUUCUAACAUUCCUCCCU